UACGUAGGUGGCGAGCGUUGUCCGGAUUUACUGGGCGUAAAGAGCGCGCAGGCGGCUGGUCAAGUCCGAUGUGAAAGCUCCCGGCUUAACUGGGAAAUUGCAUCGGAAACUGAUCGGCUGGAAGGUGGGAGAGGGUAGCGGAAUUCCCGGUGUAGUGGUGAAAUGCGUAGAUAUCGGGAGGAACACCAGUGGCGAAAGCGGCUACCUGGCCCAUUCUUGACGCUGAGGCGCGAAACCUAGGGGAGCAAACGGG
This 253-nucleotide ribosomal RNA is filed under the name uncultured bacterium. RNAcentral's name for it is "partial 16S ribosomal RNA". It matches the Rfam family "Bacterial small subunit ribosomal RNA", at positions 524 to 776 of the family's 1533-position model. The record is from RNAcentral.